RNAcentral lists this ribosomal RNA (254 nucleotides) under uncultured bacterium. RNAcentral describes it as "partial 16S ribosomal RNA". It matches the Rfam family "Bacterial small subunit ribosomal RNA", at positions 524 to 776 of the family's 1533-position model. The record is from RNAcentral.
CACGUAGGGGGCAAGCGUUGUCCGGAUUUAUUGGGCGUAAAGAGCUCGUAGGCGGUACGGUAAGUCGGGUGUGAAACCUCCAGGCUCAACCUGGAGACGCCACCCGAUACUGCUGUGACUAGAGUCCGGUAGGGGAGCGUGGAAUUCCUGGUGUAGCGGUGAAAUGCGCAGAUAUCAGGAGGAACACCAGCGGCGAAGGCGGCGCUCUGGGCCGGAACUGACGCUGAGGAGCGAAAGCGUGGGGAGCAAACAGG